GAUAAGUCUUAUAAAAUAUAUAGAUUUAUGAUGAUUAAGACUGAGCUAGCAGACGAGAAUCCUAGUCAUUGGCCAAGCAGCUUUGUACCUAAUAUGUCUCUGUAUUAUUUUGUCCAUCCCCGCAGCAAGCACAACUCAGGUGACUGGUGGAGACCGUCCACAAGGCGUUCACACUACCUCCCAAUGUGACCAUGCUGAUAAGAGCUUCUAAUGUAAACUCUUGGAGCAUAAAACACAUCCAAAUCUAUAGUAUCCACUAUCAAUACAAGGAAAAAGAUGAAGGAAAGGCCUGACUUUUGUAUCUAGUCACAGACACUGCCAGAAGGCAGCAACACAACAUGAAGCUCAUUCCAACUGAAACACAACAAAGGAGAUACCACAGAUAUUUUGAACAGGAUCUGGGGGCCAGAAGAGCAGGAAGAAGACGGAACACACAUCCAAAUAUAGUGGUGAAAAGGCAGGUUGUGACAAGGAAGUUAAUAUCCACCAGCAGGAAUGGUCAUUGUCUCUUUCCAAUAGCUGUUUUCUUAAGAAUGGUGCUGGAGAACAUCAUUUCAGUGAUGGACAAAAGUUAUCACACCUACUGCUACAUUACAAAGAAGGAUCUUUAUCAUGAAAAAGCUUUGUACUCUGCCAAAAGCCUUUUCUGCAUCUACUG
RNAcentral lists this long non-coding RNA (658 nucleotides) under Cricetulus griseus (Chinese hamster). Its description in RNAcentral is "lncRNA (ENSCGRG00015032436.1)". Lineage: Eukaryota; Metazoa; Chordata; Mammalia; Rodentia; Cricetidae. The record is from RNAcentral.